CCUACGGGAGGCAGCAGUGAGGAAUAUUGGUCAAUGGACGAGAGUCUGAACCAGCCAAGUAGCGUGAAGGAUGACUGCCCUAUGGGUUGUAAACUUCUUUUAUAUGGGAAUAAAAUGUGUCACGUGUGGGCUUUUGUAUGUACCAUAUGAAUAAGGAUCGGCUAACUCCGUGCCAGCAGCCGCGGUAAUACGGAGGAUCCGAGCGUUAUCCGGAUUUAUUGGGUUUAAAGGGUGCGUAGGCGGAAUGUAAAGUCAGCGGUAAAAUCGCGGGGCUCAACCUAGCACCGCCGUUGAAACUGGCGUUGUUGAGUGGGCGAGAAGUGUGCGGAAUGCGUGGGGUAGCGGUGAAAUGCAUA
RNAcentral lists this ribosomal RNA (356 nucleotides) under uncultured bacterium. RNAcentral describes it as "partial 16S ribosomal RNA". It matches the Rfam family "Bacterial small subunit ribosomal RNA", at positions 338 to 692 of the family's 1533-position model. The record is from RNAcentral.